Molecule: long non-coding RNA, 5496 nt
Filed under: Triticum aestivum (bread wheat)
Lineage: Eukaryota; Viridiplantae; Streptophyta; Magnoliopsida; Poales; Poaceae
Description: long non-coding RNA (TAES_LNC024160)
Source: RNAcentral
AGACACGCACAAAUGUAUAUUAUAUCACACGUACUUGCACUAACACAAAGACUACACAAUGUAAGAAGGUUCUUAAGCAAGAAAUGGACAUGGGAUAUAUAUAGCUAAUUAUCAAUCAUACAAACUAAGUGACACAUGCCACGGUUCAGCUCACAGAUCAGCAAUGUAACACUACAAACACAAGUCUGAAAUUGAACAAAUCACUAUAUUAUACAGUACUAACUCCUGUGAAUUACAGAGAGAGAAAGAGAUAGAAACUGCAGCAGGAUUGGGAAUACAGAAAAGAAGCAGAGCAUCAGGGAGUGAGGAGCAGCAAGGGGGCGCUGGAGAGGAGCAGUAAGUGGACGCUGGAGAGAGCAGGUAGCAGCAACAGCGUUUGGGAGAUUCAGAGAAGAAGCAGGGAAGCAGCGAGGUAGGCGAAGAAGGAGCAGCAGCAGAGGUACAGAGAGAAACUGAGAGGUGGUGGAGCAGAAGCAAGGCAAAGAAAGAAACAGAGCAAGGGAAGCAGAGGAAGCAGCAGUAGAUGGAGAAGAGAAGAAGAACAUCAGUAGGGUUAGGAGGAGAAGAAAGGUGGAGGAGCAGCAGGGAGAUGGAUGGGAGGCGGCGCGAGGUGGUGAGGCGGUGCUGGUGGCGGCGUUGAUGGAGGCGCGGUGGUGGAUCGGGCGCCGGUGCUGGUGCUGGUGGAUGGUGGCGAAGAUGGCGCUGGUGAUGGCAUGGUGGAUGGUGCAGAUCGAGUGGAUGGAUGGCUGUGUGGCACGCCGCCACGCCGGCCUGGCCGCGGUGGUGGAGAAGGUGGGGUGAGGGAGAAGAGAGAUUUGCCAGGCCCGAGGGGAAUUGUAGAUGGACUAGGGAUUUUGACCCCUCGAUCUGAUCUUCCAUUUGCACAAUGGCCCUCCUGCUUCCUUCUUUCUUCACAAGAAAAUCCCUCUCUUCUCUAGUUGGCCCCCUGGUUACUUUGUUUCUUCUCGCACAAGUCCAUUCUUCCUCCUCUUCUUCGUUCUCUUAGCCACUUAGUCCGGAUCUUGAAGUUUAUAGUGCCUUCUCACACUUUUCUGCAAAACAAACCACUGAGUAGUAAAUCACCCCUUUAUAUGAUUAUCAUUCACAAAUUCAACAAUUCAUAGCAAGAAAUGAAUGAAUAUAACUCAAUAAACCGCAUAUUUGAGUGCCAAAAGAUGUAUAUGAAAUGUGUUGAUCAAGUUCCCCCACACUUAAAUCUUUGCUUGUCCUCAAGCAAAGGAAUAUGACAAAGGCAAGAUAGUGAACAGUGACCUGACUAGAGAAUGUCAAGUGAAGUAGAUCUCUAAACAGUGCAUGCUUUGGACUUUCCUAGUGAAAAUUAAUGGUUAAGAGUGCUACAUAUCAAUAGGACACUAGUAAACUCGACCAUUUUAAACUUUUGCAAUGAUAAACGAAGAUUAGCAAGUUCAAAUGCUGACUGUGCCAACACGUUCCUAAAGAGAGCAUGAUCCUGAGAACAAAAGGAACUUUAAUUAAAACACUUAUUUGCAGAAAUAUAACAUUGUGGUUGAACCACUUAUUAAAUUUGAAGGAAAUAAUGAUAAUAUUUUAUCGGUCUCACCAAAGGAACAUACCACCGAUCCGGAGAACAUGGUAUACACCUGGCUCGACCAAUUAUUAGUUUUUUUGUUUGUCUCCCCAAAGGAACAUACCACCGAUCCCGAGAACAUGGUAUACACCUGGUUCGACAAUUACAUUUUUAUUAUUGAUUACUGCCCAAGCUAACCCGAUUUCACAUGCCACCGAUCCAGGGAACAUGACAUGCUACUGUAGGUAGUCAGACUUAUUUAUUCAUUAUUACUUAUUUUAAAUGAACAACGCAUAAGUACAAAAACAGGGAUCCUCACUUCGCCAUGUCUGGUUCACAUGCUACCGAUCCAGGGAACAUAGCAUACUAGUUGAUGAGGAACACUAGAUGAGAAGAAAGAAAACACAUGCCAGAUCUGUUUGGCUACUUCUAGAUGCUUCCACUCUAGUGUAGUAUUUCUUUCCUUUUCUUUUCUAUCCUACCUACUGUUUUCUAGAGUCUUCUAGUUGUGAGUAGCUAUGAGUAGAAUGGUGAAACUUACAUAAUGUUUUCUAGAGUAUUCCAGCUAUAAGUAGAAGUAUGUGAAGGCUUCCCAAAGCCCUAUAAAUAAAGGUCUUCGCCUCUACUUUGGAGGCAGACUAUGUAUCCCUACCUAUAAUAGAACUUGUUGUUCUUAUCUAAGAUCUUGGAGUAGAUCUUGUGCCCUAGGAGUUCUGGAUUGAACUCUUGCUGCCCUAUCAACCUACAUUCGCCUCUAGAGCGAUAUCUAGCGCAGCACGUUGAAGCUGUUCCUUCAACACUUGUGCUGUACACAUUGUAGCAGCAAGGUGGAGUUGCUCCUCCACAAACUUUGUGCUGCUUCACUAGUCCAUAGUGGUAAAGUGAUUGCUCUCAAUGGGAACACAAUAGGCACAAACUCAGCAUCUAACACUUAAUGACCUAAGUGUAUCAAGGUAAAAGCAGAAAAUGAUAAAGUUUACUAGUGCACUAGGGAUUUGAGCACUCAAAACUAAUAGUUCUCACUAAUUUCAGCAAAGCAAACAGGGUGUAGAUCACUAGUUUACAAGGCAUUCAACAAUCAGUUUGCAUAUUCUCAUCAAGCACCAUAUGUCAAAGGUGAAAUUCAGUGGGACAACAUUUAAGAAAUGGCACAAGCAACCCAAAUAGCAAUUUAAUUCAGCAAGCAUCAAUGGAUGAUGAUUUCAAAAUGGGUCAUGAAACAGCUCACCGGGCUUUGAUGAUGUAGCACUCGCUCGAUCAUCUCACCAACUGCAGCUCUUCUCCUUUGCUUCCUCAUGGAUGCUCCAGCUUCACUCUUCUUCGUGUUUGCCCCCUGCUUCUCCUCAUCACCAUGCUCUGAGUCCACCGGGGUCCCAAGGAAUGUCACCUUGAACCUGGUCAGCAUGUAUUGAUUGGUGCACAAGCAAAAACCUGAAAAGGCACUCAACCAAAGAGACAAUACGAGUGACAGGAGUAAUUCCCUCUAAAUCAUCAAUAGAGUACCCAAUUACAUAAGCAUAGCUAUAAAGCACAUGUUUAGGAUGGUAGAAAUCAGUAAGCUCAAUGCUAGCAUAAGGAUGAUAUUUAUCAUUAAGCAUAGGUCUAGCAUGAGGAGAGUAAGUGUCAUCAUAAAAUGAGAGAAAUGCCAAUAACAGGGUAUGUAUGAUCAUGUCCAAGCAAAUAGUUUUUCGAGUCUAGCUUAAUUGAUGGUAUCAUGCAAUGCAAAGUAGUAGCAAACAGAUCAUCUGGACGCAUGUCAUCAUGAGGAUUAGAUAAACCUGCUACAUCACGCUCUUGUAUGACAAUAGGCAAAUGAAUUUCUGGUUCUUCAUCUUCAACUACAACAGCUUCUUCUACUUCUUCGGGAGUGGUAGACAUUGGAUCUUCAACUUGUUCAUUUGGGUAUUCGAGCUCUGGAUCAUCUUGUUCCUUGGCUUCGAGAAUUUCUUCUUGGAUCUGAACUAUCUCUUCCUAUGGACUCUCGCUAUCUUGCUCAGCUGAAUGUGAAGGUGUUGGAACCUCACAUGUAUCAAUGGAUAUCUCAGCCACACUAAACUCAAGCUGUGAUGAUAUAGUACUGCCAGCGUUGAUAUUCUUCUCAAUCUUCCUUACUUCUUCCACUAGCUCUUUGCCACUCUUGAUCUUCUUCAUUUCCUCUAGUAUCACCUUCCUAAUAGGAUCAUCUUCCGCACUCCAAGUGAACUCGAGACUAAGCAAUGUGAGCUUGUCUAUGUCAUCGAACUCAUCUUGUGUGGGCACUUGUGCAUGAGAUUGCUCAACAGGUGCUGGAGUUGUUGGUUGACCAAGUGGAGGACCAUUUAACUCCAUUGGACACAUCUCCCGGUGUUGAGGUACAUGAAUAAGAGCUGAAUAAAACUGCUGUGGUGCAUAGUUGUUGCUCUCCUCAUUGUACCUAAUUCCCUGCAAUGGAUUACUAGAGGCAAACGAUGAGAUCUCAGGGUUGUUGUUCCUAUAUGACAUAUUCUGGUUUUCAGGCCACCCAUAUGAGUAAUUGUUUUGGUAUGAGCUAGGCUGUGGGGCGAAGCUCAUGCCAUAAAAAUCGGGAGGGUGAGAGUAACCACGCUGACAUUCAGCGGGUGAAUGGCCCUGAAAUUCACAAAUAUGGCAUAUAGGAGCAACAUAAGGAUGACCUCUAGAAUAAGGAUCAUAAGAGCUAGGCCUAUCCUCAAAAACUACUUCUCGUUGCCGAGCUAAAUCAUCUAAUCGAUGGGAAAUCUUACUUAUCAGUUCUUGAAUACUUUCCGGCUGUUUGUAGUGUUGCUCGCAUAAGCAUGAUGAUCUGAGUAGAAUGCCAUUUCCAAGAAGACAAUUCAACCUACAAAAUGAACAAGAAAAGAAAGAGAAGAUAACUAGAACAGUGGUUAGGGGUAAGAGAUAUAUCACAAAUAUAUGGCACUAGAUAGAAAAAGAAGCAAAACCUAGUCUAUAGCUUCACACAAUCGUUCGACGCUAGUCCCUGGCAACGGCGCCAAAAUGAUCCAUUGAAAGUACAGUUGGAUAUUUCGCCCAAACUGCGAGUGUGUCGUGUUCUCCACAGGGACUAGGCAAGUCAAUGAUCAUGCUCGGAUAAAGCUAGGUAACACAAUUCAGACUAUGAAUGCAAGAAAAUAAACCUAAACUAAACAAGGUAGUUCCUGAAGAUCGUUGCCAAAGAAAAUGCAAAAUAAGCAAAGGGAGAUUCAAAUUUUCUAUACUGUCUUUUUGGCAAUUUGCAUAUUACUCGAGGAAUUUAAUGCUAACACAAGCAAACAUCAAACGGCUAGGGAACUAAAAAGACAUGAACAUAUAUAAAACUAUCUAACAUUUAACAAGGUGAAGAAACAAGGUUGUAGGAUAGAACAUAAAAUGCAUCACAUCACUGACACGCACAAAUGUAUAUUAUAUCACACGUACUUGCACUAACACAAAGACUACACAAUGUAACAAGGUUCUUAAGCAAGAAAUGGACAUGGGAUAUAUAUAGCUAAUUAUCAAGCAUACAAACUAAGUGACACAUGUCACGGUUCAGCUCACAGAUCAGCAAUGUAACACUACAAACACAAGUCUGAAAUUGAACAAAUCACUAUAUUAUACAGUACUAACUCUUGUGAAUUACAGAGAGAGAAAGAGAUAGAAACUGCACCAGGAUUGGGAAUACAGAAAAGAAGCAGAGCAUCAGGGAGUGAGGAGCAGCAAGGGGGCGCUGGAGAGGAGCAGUAAGUGGACGCUGGAGAGAGCAGGUAGCAGCAGCGUUUGGGAGAUUCAGAGAAGAAGCAGGGAAGCAGCGAGGUAGGCGAAGAAGGAGCAGCAGCAGAGGUACAGAGAGAAAUUGAGAGGUGGUGGAGCAGAAGCAAGGCAAAGAAAGAAGCAAAGCAAGGGAAGCAGAGGAAGCAUCAGUAGAUGGAGAAGAGAAGAAGAACAUCAGUAGGGUUAGGAGGAGAAGAAAG